GGGCCCGCACAAGCGGUGGAGUAUGUGGUUUAAUUCGAUGCAACGCGAAGAACCUUACCAGGGUUUGACAUCCUGCGAAUCUCUUGGAAACGAGAGAGUGCCUUCGGGAACGCAGUGACAGGUGGUGCAUGGCUGUCGUCAGCUCGUGUCGUGAGAUGUUGGGUUAAGUCCCGCAACGAGCGCAACCCUCACUUUUAGUUGCCAUCAUUAAGUUGGGCACUCUGAAAGAACUGCCAGUGAUAAGCUGGAGGAAGGUGGGGAUGACGUCAAGUCCUCAUGGCCCUUACGUGUUGGGCUACACACGUGCUACAAUGGCAUUUACAGAGGGAAGCGAGACAGUGAUGUGGAGCGGACCCCUUAAAGAAUGUCGUAGUCCGGAUUGGAGUCUGCAACUCGACUCCAUGAAGUCGGAAUCGCUAGUAAUCG
Molecule: ribosomal RNA, 426 nt
Filed under: uncultured bacterium
Lineage: Bacteria
Description: bacterial SSU rRNA
Rfam family: Bacterial small subunit ribosomal RNA
Source: RNAcentral